Non-coding RNA from Castor canadensis (American beaver), 239 nucleotides. The record is from RefSeq and is a predicted model, not a curated record. NCBI's taxonomy places the organism in Eukaryota, Metazoa, Chordata, Mammalia, Rodentia, Castoridae.
GCCAUCUUGGCCUGCGGGGUCCUCGCGGCGGCCCGGCUGCCCGCGGCGCUGCCUGAGCCGGCCUCGUACGGUGUCCCUGUGUUGCUCAGACUGAUCCUCAAAAUCCUGGGAUCACUCGAUCCUCUGGCCUGGGACUACAGAAGCGCUAUGGGGCUCAGUAGUCUCCCGCUUGCCCAGCACCACAAAGCCCUGGUUCCACCCCCAGCUUCAUAAAAACCAUAAAGAUGAAGAAGAACAGG